ACAUCUUGAUAUUGCUUUCGUAAUUUAUACUGACAUAAAAUAAUAUUUUUCACUGUUUUGCAAUGUCUUUUUAAUUUCUGUAUUGCAGCUAGAGGAAGUCCAAAGAAAACUUGGAUUUGCUCUUUCUGACAUCUCGGUGGUUAGCAAUUAUUCCUCUGAGUGGGAGCUGGACCCUGUAAAGGAUGUUCUAAUUCUUUCUGCUCUGAGACGAAUGCUAUGGGCUGCAGAUGACUUCUUAGAGGAUUUGCCUUUUGAGCAAAUAGGGAAUCUAAGGGAGGAAAUUAUCAACUGUGCACAAGGAAAAAAAUAGAUAUGUGAAAGGUUCACGUAAAUUUCCUCACAUCACAGAAGAUUAAAAUUCAGAAAGGAGAAAACACAGACCAAAGAGAAGUAACUAAGACCAAAGGGAUGUGUUUUAUUAAUGUCUAGGAUGAAGAAAUGCAUAGAACAUUGUAGUACUUGUAAAUAACUAGAAAUAACAUGAUUUAGUCAUAAUUGUGAAAAAUAAUAAUAAUUUUUCUUGGAUUUAUGUUCUGUAUCUGUGAAAAAAUAAAUUUCUUAUAAAACUCGGGUCUAA
Molecule: small RNA, 577 nt
Filed under: Pan troglodytes (chimpanzee)
Lineage: Eukaryota; Metazoa; Chordata; Mammalia; Primates; Hominidae
Description: processed transcript
Source: RNAcentral